UGGGGAAUCUUGGACAAUGGGCGCAAGCCUGAUCCAGCCAUGCCGCGUGAGCGAUGAAGGCCUUAGGGUUGUAAAGCUCUUUCACCGGUGAAGAUAAUGACGGUAGCCGGAGAAGAAGCCCCGGCUAACUUCGUGCCAGCAGCCGCGGUAAUACGAAGGGGGCUAGCGUUGUUCGGAAUUACUGGGCGUAAAGCGCACGUAGGCGGACCAGAAAGUUGGGGGUGAAAUCCCGGGGGCUCAACCCCGGAACUGCCUCCAAAACUAUUGGUCUAGAGUUCGAGAGAGGUGAGUGGAAUUCCAAGUGUAGAGGUGAAAUUCGUAGAUAUUUGGAGGAACACCAGUGGCGAAGGCGGCUCACUGGCUCGAUACUGACGCUGAGGUGCGAAAGUGUGGGGAGCAAACAGGAUUAGAUACCCUGGUAGUCCACACCGUAAAACGAUGAAUGCCAGUCGUCGGGUAGCAUGCUAUUCGGUGACACACCUAACGGAUUAAGCAUU
Molecule: ribosomal RNA, 497 nt
Filed under: uncultured bacterium
Lineage: Bacteria
Description: bacterial SSU rRNA
Rfam family: Bacterial small subunit ribosomal RNA
Source: RNAcentral